CUAAAGCACAAACCAGUCAGGCAGGCUGU
RNAcentral lists this non-coding RNA (29 nucleotides) under Mus musculus (house mouse). Lineage: Eukaryota; Metazoa; Chordata; Mammalia; Rodentia; Muridae. The record is from RNAcentral.